RNAcentral lists this ribosomal RNA (800 nucleotides) under uncultured bacterium. Its description in RNAcentral is "bacterial SSU rRNA". It matches the Rfam family "Bacterial small subunit ribosomal RNA", at positions 8 to 858 of the family's 1533-position model. The record is from RNAcentral.
AGAGUUUGAUCCUGGCUCAGAACGAACGCUGGCGGCAGGCCUAACACAUGCAAGUCGAGCGCCCCGCAAGGGGAGCGGCAGACGGGUGAGUAACGCGUGGGAAUCUACCUAGUGGUACGGAAUAGCCCAGGGAAACUUGGAGUAAUACCGUAUAAGCCCGAAAGGGGAAAGAUUUAUCGCCAUUAGAUGAGCCCGCGUUGGAUUAGCUAGUUGGUGGGGUAACGGCCCACCAAGGCGACGAUCCAUAGCUGGUCUGAGAGGAUGAUCAGCCACACUGGGACUGAGACACGGCCCAGACUCCUACGGGAGGCAGCAGUGGGGAAUAUUGGACAAUGGGCGCAAGCCUGAUCCAGCCAUGCCGCGUGAGUGACGAAGGUCUUCGGAUUGUAAAGCUCUUUUGGCGGGGACGAUAAUGACGGUACCCGCAGAAUAAGCCCCGGCUAACUUCGUGCCAGCAGCCGCGGUAAUACGAAGGGGGCUAGCGUUGUUCGGAAUUACUGGGCGUAAAGCGCACGUAGGCGGACUCUUAAGUCAGGGGUGAAAUCCCGGGGCUCAACCUCGGAACUGCCUUUGAUACUGUGAGUCUCGAGACCGGAAGAGGUGAGUGGAAUUCCUAGUGUAGAGGUGAAAUUCGUAGAUAUUAGGAAGAACACCAGUGGCGAAGGCGGCUCACUGGUCCGGUUCUGACGCUGAGGUGCGAAAGCGUGGGGAGCAACAGGAUUAGAUACCCUGGUAGUCCACGCCGUAAACGAUGGAUGCUAGCCGUCGGCCAGCUUGCUGGUCGGUGGCGCAGCUAACGC